GGCAGUUGUGGUGGUGCACAGCUGUAGUCCCAGCUACCUGGGAGGCUGAGGUGGGAGGAUCGCUUGAGCCCAGGAGGUUGAGGCUGCAGUGAGCCAUGACUGCUCCACUGCACUCCAGCCUGGGCAACAGAGUGAGAUCCUGUCUCAC
Papio anubis (olive baboon) is the source of this 148-nucleotide unclassified non-coding RNA. It matches the Rfam family "Metazoan signal recognition particle RNA". Rfam says of the family: The signal recognition particle (SRP) is a universally conserved ribonucleoprotein. It is involved in the co-translational targeting of proteins to membranes. NCBI's taxonomy places the organism in Eukaryota, Metazoa, Chordata, Mammalia, Primates, Cercopithecidae. The record is from Ensembl.